GAACAAUGGCUUUCGGUGACUAUCCGGCUGAAUAUAAUCCUAAAGUGCAUGGGCCAUACGAUCCAGCACGAUAUUAUGGCAAACGUGAGUGUCUUA
Glossina brevipalpis is the source of this 96-nucleotide non-coding RNA. The record is from Rfam. Lineage: Eukaryota; Metazoa; Arthropoda; Insecta; Diptera; Glossinidae.